Molecule: ribosomal RNA, 1343 nt
Filed under: Keilbachia subacumina
Lineage: Eukaryota; Metazoa; Arthropoda; Insecta; Diptera; Sciaridae
Description: eukaryotic LSU rRNA
Rfam family: Eukaryotic large subunit ribosomal RNA
Source: RNAcentral
GACCAAGAAGUCUAACAUGUGUGCGAGUCAUUGGGUAUUUUGUUGAAACCUAAGGGCGCAAUUAAAAUAACUAUUUUAUGGGAUUACAAGUGAAUUAAAUUUCAUUUCUUCAUCCCGGGGCGUUCUAUACGAACAUGGUGCAAGCAAUUGAACCCUCUGUUCAAGAGCGUACCUUGAGCAUACAUGCUGUGACCCGAAAGAUGGUGAACUAUACCUGAUCAGAUCGAAGCCAGGAGAAAUUCUGGUGGAGGAUCGAAACAGUUCUGACGUGCAAAUCGAUUGUCAGAAUUGGGUAUAGGGGCGAAAGACCAAUCGAACCAUCUAGUAGCUGGUUCCCUCCGAAGUUUCCCUCAGGAUAGCUGGCGCAAAGAAUUAUAUUAUAUAUAAUCUUAUCUGGUAAAGCGAAUGAUUAGAGGCCUUGGGGCCGAAACGACCUCAACCUAUUCUCAAACUUUAAAUGGGUAAGAACCUCAUCUUUCUUGAUCUGAAGAUAUUGGGGUUUAGAUAUAUUGUGCCCAGUGGGCCACUUUUGGUAAGCAGAACUGGCGCUGUGGGAUGAACCAAACAUGAUGUUACGGCGCCUAAAUUAAUGACUCAUAUUGAUACCAUGAAAGGCGUUGGUUGCUUAAAACAGCAGGACGGUGGACAUGGAAGUCGUAAUCCGCUAAGGAGUGUGUAACAACUCACCUGCCGAAGCAACUAGCCCUUAAAAUGGAUGGCGCUCAAGUCAUAUGCCUAUACAUCAUCGCUAGAAUAAAAAUUGUUGAUCAUUUAUGGUCAUCAUUAUGAAAUUCUAGUGAGUAGGAGGGUACAAUGGUGUGCGCAGAAGUGUUUGGCGUGAGCCUGCAUGAAGCCGCCAUUGGCACAGAUCUUGGUGGUAGUAGCAAAUAAUCGAAUGAGAUCUUGGAGGACUGAAGUGGAGAAGGGUUUCGUGUGAACAGUGGUUGAUCACGAGUUAGUCGGUCCUAAGCUUUAUGCGAAAGCUGUUUAAUUUAUGUUACACACACAAUUUUUGAAAUUUGUUGUACAUAAUUCAAUAAAAGCGAAAGGGAAUACGGUUCCAAUUCCGUAACCUGUUGAGUAUACGUUUGUUUAUUAAAAAUGGGUCUUAUUACACUCAUCCUGGCAACAGGAACGACCAUAGAGAAGCCUUCGAGAGAUACUGGAAGAGUUUUCUUUUCUGCUAAACAAACGUAUCACCAUGGAAGUCUUUUAUAGAGAGAUAUGGUGGAUGGCUUGGAAGAGCAUGACAUUUACUGUUGUGUCAGUAUUUUCUCCUUGGACCUUGAAAAUCUAUGGUGGGGCCACGCAAACUUCUCAACAGACCGUACCGAUAUCCGCAG